This 508-nucleotide ribosomal RNA is filed under the name uncultured bacterium. RNAcentral's name for it is "partial 16S ribosomal RNA". It matches the Rfam family "Bacterial small subunit ribosomal RNA", at positions 28 to 523 of the family's 1533-position model. The record is from RNAcentral.
GAUGAACGCUAGCUACAGGCUUAACACAUGCAAGUCGAGGGGAAACGAUAUUGGAAGCUUGCUUCCGAUAGGCGUCGACCGGCGCACGGGUGAGUAACGCGUAUCCAAGCGGCCCACCACUUGGGGAUAACCUUGCGAAAGUAAGACUAAUACCAAAUGAUAUCUCUAGAAGACAUAUGAAGGAGAUUAAAGAAUUAUCGGAGAUGUAUGGGGAUGCGUCGGAUUGUCUUGUUGGCGGGGUAACGGCCCACCAAGGCGACGUUCAGUAGGGGUUCUGAGAGGAAGGUCCCCCACAUUGGAACUGAGACACGGUCCAAACUCCUACGGGAGGCAGCAGUGAGGAAUAUUGGUCAAUGGGCGAGAGCCUGAACCAGCCAAGUAGCGUGCAGGAUGACGGCCCUAUGGGUUGUAAACUGCUUUUAUAAGGGAAUAAAGUGAGUCUCGUGAGACUUUUUGCAUGUACCUUAUGAAUAAGGACCGGCUAAUUCCGUGCCAGCCGCCGCCGUAA